CGAAUGAACAAGUACAAAGUUCAUUGGUGAUACAACUUCAGGUUGUCGGCGUUCCAGGUCCGGAGAAUGGGUUUUCCUUCCAGAGUCUCCAGUCGGUAAGCCCUCGGCCCAUAGGUGUCUGCUACCAUGUAGGGUCCUUCCCAAUUCGGAGCCAGCUUCCCUUGGUCUAGGGGCUUCGAGACUUCUGCCUUUCUCAGGACCAAGUCACCAGGCC
This 214-nucleotide long non-coding RNA is filed under the name Elaeis guineensis (African oil palm). RNAcentral describes it as "long non-coding RNA (EGUI_LNC079543)". Lineage: Eukaryota; Viridiplantae; Streptophyta; Magnoliopsida; Arecales; Arecaceae. The record is from RNAcentral.